AGUGAACGCUGGCGGUAGGCCUAACACAUGCAAGUCGAACGGCAGCACAGUAAGAGCUUGCUCUUACGGGUGGCGGGUGGCGGACGGGUGAGGAAUACAUCGGAAUCUACUUUUUCGUGGGGGAUAACGUAGGGAAACUUACGCUAAUACCGCAUACGACCUACGGGUGAAAGCAGGGGUUCUUCGGACCUUGCGCGAUUGAAUGAGCCGAUGUCGGAUUAGCUAGUUGGCGGGGUAAAGGCCCACCAAGGCGACGAUCCGUAGCUGGUCUGAGAGGAUGAUCAGCCACACUGGAACUGAGACACGGUCCAGACUCCUACGGGAGGCAGCAGUGGGGAAUAUUGGACAAUGGGCGCAAGCCUGAUCCAGCCAUACCGCGUGGGUGAAGAAGGCCUUCGGGUUGUAAAGCCCUUUUGUUGGGAAAGAAAAGCAGCAGGUUAAUACCCCGCUGUUCUGACGGUACCCAAAGAAUAAGCACCGGCUAACUUCGUG
RNAcentral lists this ribosomal RNA (492 nucleotides) under uncultured bacterium. Its description in RNAcentral is "partial 16S ribosomal RNA". It matches the Rfam family "Bacterial small subunit ribosomal RNA", at positions 29 to 507 of the family's 1533-position model. The record is from RNAcentral.